UACGUAGGGGGCUAGCGUUGUCCGGAAUCAUUGGGCGUAAAGCGCGUGUAGGCGGUCCGGUAAGUCCGCUGUGAAAGUCGGGGGCUCAACCCUCGAAUGCCGGUGGAUACUGUCGGGCUAGAGUGCGGAAGAGGCGAGUGGAAUUCCUGGUGUAGCGGUGAAAUGCGCAGAUAUCGGGAAGAACACCCGUGGCGAAGGCGGCUCUCUGGGACGGUACUGACGCUGAGACGCGAAAGCGUGGGGAGCGAACAGG
RNAcentral lists this ribosomal RNA (253 nucleotides) under uncultured bacterium. Its description in RNAcentral is "partial 16S ribosomal RNA". It matches the Rfam family "Bacterial small subunit ribosomal RNA", at positions 524 to 776 of the family's 1533-position model. The record is from RNAcentral.